UGCAAGUCGAACGGAAAGGCCUGGAUCUUGCUGCGUGUACUCGAGUGGAAAACGGGAGAGUAACACGUGGGUGAUCUGCCUUGCACUUCGAGAUAAGCUUGAAAAACUGGGUCUAAUACCAGAUAAGACACCUGUUUAUGGUCAGUUGUGGAAAGUUUUUUCGGUGCAAGAUGAGCUCGCGGCCUAUCAGCUUGUUGGUGGGGUAAUGGCCUACCAAGGCUUCGACGGGUAGCCGGCCUGAGAGGGUGUCCGGCCACAUUGGGACUGAGAUACGGCCCAGACUCCUACGGGAGGCAGCAGUGGGGAAUAUUGCACAAUGGGCGGAAGCCUGAUGCAGCGACGCCGCGUGGGGGAUGAAGGCCUUCGGGUUGUAAACUCCUUUCGCCAGUGACGAUGCGUAAGUGACGGUACCUGUAUAAGAAGCACCGGCUAACUACGUGCCAGCAGCCGCGGUAAUACGUAGGGUGCGAGCGUUGUCCGGAAUUAUUGGGCGUAAAGAGCUCGUAGGUGGUUUGUCGCGUCGUAAGUGAAAUUCCGGGGCUUAACUCCGAGCGUGCAGUCGAUACGGGUUGACUUGAGUGCUGUAGGGGAAACUGGAAUUCCUGGUGUAGCGGUGAAAUGCGCAGAUAUCAGGAGGAACACCGAUGGCGAAGGCAGGUCUCUGGCCAUUCCCUGACGCUGAGGAGCGAAAGCAUGGGUAGCGACCAGGAUUAGAUACCCUGGUAGUCCAUCCCUUAACCGGUGGUCCUUAGUUGUAGGUGCAUUCCACGUGUUCUGUGCCGUAGCUAACG
Molecule: ribosomal RNA, 791 nt
Filed under: uncultured Actinomycetes bacterium
Lineage: Bacteria; Bacillati; Actinomycetota; Actinomycetes
Description: bacterial SSU rRNA
Rfam family: Bacterial small subunit ribosomal RNA
Source: RNAcentral